UCUAACCCGCUUAAAAUCCUCGGACGAGUGGCCCUUAUCUGCCAGUUGUGAAAACUUCGGGCACACUAAGUAUCCGCUCGUGGAGUUCCAGCUUCUCGUCGACUAGCCCACCGAUGGGAGCUUUACGUGGAACGGAUGAUGGCCUUGCUUAAACGGAGGUUUUCUUAAAAAUUGAUACCUCCAUUAAAUUUAUACCGGUGUCAUCCUCCAUCCGCAGUACUCCGUUUUCAGCCUAGCACAGAGUCGUGCCCCGGCAGCCCUAAAACUAACCCGGAGGGGAAAACACCUGGUACUGAAAUUGCUCACAGUUACACUUCUGGUGUGUGUAGACAGGGCUGAUAAUGAAAGCAAUGGUAGUAUGUCUAUUUUUAGCCUGUGCCAUUCCUUCGGGAUGUCUUUGCCCUGGUGCCUAAAAAAAUAUAGAGAGAGAUUAUUUCUAAUAACCAGGACUUUAUUGUGACAAAAAUCAAGGAAUUCCUAGAAUUCCUAGAUCAGAAUUUGGAGUGCCAAAAGUUUUGACAAAGAUGGAAUAUGGCCUUGACAACUACAGCGCUGUUGGUGAUUUUGUUUCCGUAUCCUCUCUAUCAAAAUACAAAGUGAAAUUUGCACUAACAACUGUUGAUCUUACAAAACGUAGCCUGUUUUAGGUGUGGCCAUAUGCUAGUGAUGCUUCAGAAGAGAUAGGGGCACGCUUCACAUCUGAGGUUUACUUUGCACUGCAUACGAGCACAGUAGCUCUGUCUGACUUCCUGUAUCUCACAUUUUUUGUUUCCACUACGCUUCAGACUGUUUCAUCCUUUAUUCAGGGCAAGCAGGUUAGCAGAAACUCUAGUACUGUAAACAGCUGCCUUCAGCUUUCCUUUCCCACACAGAGGGUAUUGAGAAUUUAGUUAUUACUUUUGCUUGUAAUUUUGCUCCAGAGUAGAUCAGCAGCAGAUGCUUCUGACAUAUUGCCGCUCCAUACUUUGAAAUAACUAUAUGCAUCGCCGUACGCAUGACCUGCAGUUUCGUGUUGAUUCAUCUGGACAGAACUUAUGUUCGAGCAUCAACUCAGGCAUAAAACCUACUUGCCCGCUGUCUUCAAAGAUGAUUGAAGAUGAUAAAAGCCUUGCGAUAAUGUGACUGUUCAGUUUAACCAGACAGUCAGAAUUUUGCAGUGCUCUGCUGCCUAUAUCUGUCUGUUAAACAAAUCCUGUUAAACAGUUUCAGUUUUGUCCUCUUAAUACUGAAAGUGAGGACUGCCAUGAUCCACUCUGAGUGCUAUAGUGCAGUAGAACUUAAUUUAUUCAGUUUUACACUGUCUUUCUACAGGAUCUGUUCCUUUUUCGUUCAGUUUGGAAAUUUAGUUGAAUUGUAAAAUACUAUGUAAAAGGAUUGUAGGUAUUACCUGUUCUUGAGCUAAACUUAUGUUUCUUUGAUCCUUCAUAGCUGAGAUCCUAACGUGUCAAUGUAAGAAUACUCAUCAUCAAAGAAAAGUGGUUUGGCAGCAAUAUGGAAAACGGAAAACUCUACAGAUUCGUUUUAAACAUUGUUGAGUUUUACAUCAGGUCUAUAUGGCAGACUUCUGCUGGCACAGCUCUGUCUGCGAGUGCUGUGACGAAGUGUGACCCGUGACUGACAUAGCUGUGCCAGCAGAAGUCCCAGCUGUAGAUGCAGUUAUCUGCAAAAUUCUGCUUUUACUGAUAUAGCUUGUUUUUGUUUUUAACGGUGUUUUUGCUAUACUGGUAGCUGUGUUUUGCCAGGAAAGCACAACACUCCCAGGGCAGAAGGAGAUCUAGUGUAAUAGUGCAUUUUUUGUCUGACUUGGGAGGGACAACCGAUCCGUUUGUAUUUUACAUGUGUGCUCUCCUCCUCCCGUUCACGGUCAGUAGAAGUUUGGCAACUUUUACAGUGAAAAAUCUCGUGCCGGAGUAAGCGAUGUUAUGACUGCUACUUGUUUUUCCUUUUUUCCAGAGGUGUUUGUAAAACGUUGUUUCAUGUGAUAGGUUGGGAUUUUUUUCAUUCAUAUUUUCAUUGUUUGCCAUUAACUGUCUUACUUUCGUACAAAGCAAGGCAAAUUUGCGAUCAAGUUUGCCCAGUGCAGAAAUAUUUAGUUCCCACACUGACCUUAAAAGAAAUAGACCCCAAAGUGACUCCAAAGGUCUGCAUGGACUCUAGUAAAAUGAAAAAGAACCACUGGAGAAAAAUUCAUUGAUUUGCACACUAGGAAAGAGCUUUUUGAACUCCCAAAGGGCAUGCAAGACACUGAAUGUGAUCUGAUUUGCAGAAUACUGAGAAAGCAAAUAUAUUGGGGGAGUUUGGUAACAUGAGAUAGCACUUCAGAAAACUUCAAAAAGUAAGUUAGAAUCUCUCUCAUGCAUACCUCCUGAAACUAAUUCAGGAGGAUUUGCUGUGGAUUUACUACUUAAAGCAUUAAAUACUAAGCCUCUGCUAAUAUUUCUUUUUUAAAUGGUGUGGUUCUUUUGAUGCCAGCCGCGAUGAAACUUUGUGUACUUGCAACUCGCUUUCUUCAGGCGGUUUCUCCUUCUGUCCUAGGGCAGAUUUGUUAUAGCCAUAAAGAUACUGAUAGCACUUAAA
Rhea pennata is the source of this 2577-nucleotide long non-coding RNA. RefSeq lists it as uncharacterized. The transcript has 2 exons. Lineage: Eukaryota; Metazoa; Chordata; Aves; Rheiformes; Rheidae. The record is from RefSeq and is a predicted model, not a curated record.